GCGGAUGUAGCCAAGUGGAUUAAGGCAGU
This 29-nucleotide transfer RNA is filed under the name Brassica oleracea var. botrytis. RNAcentral describes it as "partial tRNA-His". RNAcentral also lists the same sequence under 39 other names. Lineage: Eukaryota; Viridiplantae; Streptophyta; Magnoliopsida; Brassicales; Brassicaceae. The record is from RNAcentral.